Molecule: non-coding RNA, 77 nt
Organism: Heligmosomoides polygyrus
Lineage: Eukaryota; Metazoa; Nematoda; Chromadorea; Rhabditida; Heligmosomidae
Source: Rfam
CCAUGUGGCGGGAACUAUUCAGGGCCUUUCAUAAGACCCGAAGGAAAAUUUUUGAAGGCCCUUACGUCGUAAGGGCU